This 470-nucleotide ribosomal RNA is filed under the name uncultured Rhodocyclaceae bacterium. RNAcentral describes it as "bacterial SSU rRNA". It matches the Rfam family "Bacterial small subunit ribosomal RNA", at positions 910 to 1382 of the family's 1533-position model. Lineage: Bacteria; Pseudomonadati; Pseudomonadota; Betaproteobacteria; Rhodocyclales; Rhodocyclaceae. The record is from RNAcentral.
UUGACGGGACCGCACAAGCGGUGGAUGAUGUGGAUUAAUUCGAUGCAACGCGAAAACCUUACCUACCCUUGACAUGUCCGGAAUCCCGAAGAGAUUUGGGAGUGCUCGCAAGAGAACCGGAACACAGGUGCUGCAUGGUUGUCGUCAGCUCGUGUCGUGAGAUGUUGGGUUAAGUCCCGCAACGAGCGCAACCCUUGUCAUUAGUUGCCAUCAUUUGGUUGGGCACUCUAAUGAGACUGCCGGUGACAAACCGGAGGAAGGUGGGGAUGACGUCAAGUCCUCAUGGCCCUUAUGGGUAGGGCUUCACACGUCAUACAAUGGUCGGUACAGAGGGUUGCCAACCCGCGAGGGGGAGCUAAUCCCACAAAGCCGAUCGUAGUCCGGAUCGCAGUCUGCAACUCGACUGCGUGAAGUCGGAAUCGCUAGUAAUCGUGGAUCAGCAUGUCACGGUGAAUACGUUCCCGGGUCUU